RNAcentral lists this ribosomal RNA (497 nucleotides) under uncultured bacterium. RNAcentral describes it as "partial 16S ribosomal RNA". It matches the Rfam family "Bacterial small subunit ribosomal RNA", at positions 28 to 507 of the family's 1533-position model. The record is from RNAcentral.
GAUGAACGCUGGCGGCGUGCCUAAUACAUGCAAGUCGAGCGAACAGACGAGGAUCUUGCUCCUCUGACGUUAGCGGCGGACGGGUGAGUAACACGUGGAUAACCUACCUAUAAGACUGGGAUAACUUCGGGAAACCGGAGCUAAUACCGGAUAAUAUAUUGAACCGCAUGGUUCAAUAGUUAAAUACGGUUUUGCUGUCACUUAUAGAUGGAUCCGCGCCGCAUUAGCUAGUUGGUAAGGUAACGGCUUACCAAGGCCACGAUGCGUAGCCGACCUGAUAGGGUGAUCGGCCACACUGGAACUGAGACACGGUCCAGACUCCUACGGGAGGCAGCAGUAGGGAAUCUUACGCAAUGGGCGAAAGCCUGACGGAGCAACGCCGCGUGAGGGAUGAAGGUCUUCGGAUCGUAAAACUCUGUUAUUAGGGAAGAACAAAUGUGUAAGUAACUAUGCACGUCUUGACGGUACCCAAUCAGAAAGCCACGGCUAACUACGUG